This 5169-nucleotide long non-coding RNA is filed under the name Zostera marina. RNAcentral describes it as "long non-coding RNA (ZMAR_LNC000776)". Lineage: Eukaryota; Viridiplantae; Streptophyta; Magnoliopsida; Alismatales; Zosteraceae. The record is from RNAcentral.
UUGUUGAGAAUGUGAAGGUGGUCGGAAGAGCAGAGUGAUGAUCGGAGUAGAGAGGUAGGAAAGGAGGAAGACGAUAAGAAUAAGAUAAACUCUAUAUAUUUGCUAUGAUCUCUGAGUUACAAUUAUAUACCCUUAUAUUGGGUUAUUUGUCUAUUAGCCCUUAUGGGGUUAAUUGCUUUAUUUCUCUUGUGUACUUGUUUUAUCUUCCUUAAGGGUUUAAGGGGUUAAUUGCUUUAUUUCCCCUGACACCCCCCUUCGACACCGGUGAGUCGCAGACGUUGCCGGUGUCGAUGAAAGAGUGACGCCGGUAGAGCUUUGGUGAAGAUGUCGGCACUUUGAUUUUCCGACCGAACGAAUUUGAGGCUGAUGUCUCCGCGGAUUAUGAACUCUCUGAUGAAGUGGUAGUCGAUUUCAAUGUGCCUCGUUUUAGCCUGAAUUACUGGGUUGGUUGCCAUGAAGAUCGCCGAUCUGCUGUCGGUGUGGAUAACUGGAACUCGUUUCAGAUACACUCCCAGCUCCCUUAGGAGCGAGCAGAACCAUUUGAGCUCGGCCGUGACAUGUGCGAUGGCUCUGUAUUCAGCCUCGGCGCUGGAUCGUGAUACCGUCGGCUGCUUUUUGGACAUCCAGGCCACCGGGUUUGGGCCGAGGAAGACACAAGAUCCGGUCGUUGAGCGUCUGUCAUCUGGGUCACCCGCCCAGUCCGAGUCGACCAUGAUGUUUAGGUCUGUGGAGGUUGAAGGUGUGUAGGUGAGCCCAAAACCAAUGGUACCUUUGAUGUAUCGGAGGAUGCGUUUGGCUGCCUGCCAAUGGGUUGUUGUUGGUAAUUGCAUGAAUUUGCACACUUGGUUGACUGAGAAUGCGAUGUCCGGGCGAGUGAGGCUGAGAUAUUGCAAAGCUCCAACCAGACUCCGAUAUGGGGUCGGAUCCUCGAUUGGUGUGCCUGAGUUGGCUGUUAGUUUGGAUCCUGGUAUCGAUGGCGUCGAGAUUGGUUUGGAAUUGUUCAUCUUGAAUUUCGCAAGCAGAUCCAGGGAGUACUUUCUCUGUGUGAUCUUCGUGGACGUUGCAGUCGAUUCCAUUUCAAUGCCUAGGAAGAAGGAUAGUUGUCCGAGAUCCCUGCAUUUGAAUUGUCUGCAGACCGAGUCGAUGAACGCUUUAACCUCUGUAUCGCAAUCGCCCGUGAUUACGAAGUCAUCUACGUAAAUUAGAACGUAGAUGACCCUUCCGUUGUUUCUUCUGAUGAACAAUGAUGAGUCAGAUGUGGAAUUGAGGAAGUGACAACUGUGAAGAAACUCUUUUAGUCGUUGGUACCAGGCUCUCGGUGCCUGUUUCAGGCCAUAGAUCGCUUUUUGUAGUUUGCAGACGUGAGAUUUGGCCGUUGUUUUCUUCAUUGUGAACCCUGGAGGUUGUUCCAUAAAGACUGUUUCGGUUAGAUGACCGUUAAGAAACGCAUUACAGACAUCAAGGUGAUGAAGUUUCCACCGUUGGGAUGUCGAAAUUGCCAGUAUCGUUCGUAUAGUGGCAGCCUUCACCACCGGGCUGUACGUGAGAUCAUAGUCCUCCCCGUAUUUCUGGUGAAAGCCCUUUGCUACGAGCCGAGCUUUGUACCUGUUGAGGGAUCCGUCAGAGUUUUGUUUAACCCGGAAAACCCAUCGGGAGCCAACUACAUUCAUUUCCGAUUGUCUGGGAACUAGCUUCCAGGUAUUGUUGAUGUUGAGUGCUUGGAUUUCAUCUGUCAUUGCGUCCAUCCAGAAGGGAGAUUUGAAUGCUUCUCUGACGGACGUCGGCUCGGACUGUUUACUGAUGGCUUGGUUGCAGUUUUUGGUCGCAGUCCGGCGGGGUAGGUCGGAGACGAUGGUGGUCAGUCGUUCGUCUGAUAUCGGGUGAGUGUCCGACCGAUUGGAUUUGAUGAGUCGGAUCUUGUUCAAAUUUUGGAAUUGUCUGACUGAUUCGGGUAAUUCGAGAAUUGGGGGACCCGGUUUUGAUUGGGCGGAUUCAUUCCUUGUUGAAUUGGGGGACCCGGUUUCUUUUGAACUGGUGAUCGUGGCCGACGAAUUUUGGCGCCCUGUUCGUUCACGAUCCUCUGUCUCAUAGUCCUUCAGCCAGUAGGGUGGUGUCUUUACUCUUUCAGAUUUCCUUGUGUUGCAGUCUUGAUUGAUCCUCGGCGUAUCCUUUAUGAUAGUUGUGUCGGGAUAUGCCGUUGUUUCGGUACACGGAUUGAGGUAGAUAGCUGAUCGGUCGUCCUCUGUUUCUUCUGAUGGACGAUCAGUCUGUGUCGUCUGUGUCGAUAAAGAUCCUGGAUGAUCUUCUGAUCGUAUCUGAUCAGCUUCCCGAAUCGUGUGUAGCCUUGUAGGAGGUGAAAUUAGUGCAGAUGGCAGUUGUCUGAAGUGUGACUCUGGCUGUACUUGGGUUUGGGUUUGCUGCUGGAACGGAAACGUGCAUUCAUCAAAGAGAACAUGCCGUGACACUGUUAUUUUCCCAGUAGAUAGGUCUUUGCACUUGUAUCCUCUGUGCGCAUUUGAAUAACCAAUGAAUACACAUCGAGUGGCCACACUCUGGAGCUUUGUUCUCUGAGAGUUGGGUGUGAUUGGAAAACAGAGACAUCCGAUGGUCCGUAGUAGUGAGUAGUCUGGGAUUCGCCCAAAUAGUACCUCGUACGGUGACUUAUUAUUUGUUGUGACUGAUGGAAGUCGAUUAAUGACGAAUGUCGCGCUCGAGUACGCGUCUGUCCAGAGCUCUAGUGGUAGUGAUGCCUGGUGUAGGAAGCAUCUGCCGACGUCGCCGAUGUGUCCAUGUUUCCGUUCGGCGACGCCAUUCUGCUGUGGCGUAUAAGGACAGGAAAAACGUUGUUGAAUACCGAGUUUUGAGAGAAUAUUUCGAAGAGUGUGGCCGACGAAUUCACCGCCGGCGUCACACUGAAUUUUUUGAAUUUUAAAGACAAAUGACCGUUCGACGAAAUUACAAAAGUUGAUGAAAUGGGAAGUGAAGUCGGAUUUUUUGGACUAAAGAGAUGAACCAGGUGAAUCUGGAGAAAUCAUCCACUAUGCACGCAUAGUACUUGAACACUUCUCUGGAAGUCACCGAAGCCGGCCCCCAAAGGUCGAUGUGAAUGAGUUCCAGUGGCUGUCUGGCUGUGUAGGUACGAUGAUGAAAGGCAGGUCUCUUUGCUUUAUUGAGAGCACAGACCUGGCAGAAAGGAAGAGUGGAUGGUCGACGGUCAAUCGAAGUUGGAGAGACGGAGUUUAGAACGCUAGAUAGGAUCGGUUGAGCCGGAUGACCCAACCGACGAUGCCAUACCACCGGCGUCAAUCUCGUACAGGCAGACGCUUGUUUUCCCUUGCAGAUGCCUGUCGUUGAAUUGUCGAGGUGGUAAAGGCCUUGGCCACUACUGCCACUCAUUAUAGUAGCUCCCGUCUCCUUGGCCUUGACGGUGAACCCAUUAGAAUCAAAGGAACAAACACAGUUUAGAUCAUUGGAAAGUGAUUGAAUUGAAAGUAGGUUUUUGUGGAGUCCUGGUACGUAUAGGACAUUGGGAAUUAAAAUUCGACCGAGGGAGGUCGUGAGAGAGACAGUCCCCUGCCUUAGUAUCGGCAGUUGGGAACCAUUUCAUUCCAACCAUGAUAGUAUCUUUACCUUGAUAAGGUUGGGAGGCGUUGAAGGAGUUCAGAGAUGGAGACAUGUGGUUCGACGCCCCACUGUCGAGACACCACGAGCUUUCAGAUGUUGCUGACGGAGCGCUGUUGUGGACGGACAUGGCACAGUUGUCGUCAUUGGUGAGGCGAGCGUUGUAUGCGUAGUUACGCCGGUUAUUGCAGAACUUCGCUGUGUGGCCCGCGCGAUUGCAUAUUUGGCACACCUGUUCACCGAUAGAGACUGGUGUUGGUAGUAGCGGCGGCGAGAAGUGUUCUGGAUGUCGAUAGUUGGGGGGAGGUGGGUGAUAUGUUGGUGCUCUGUAGUUUUGAUUAUUUGCUCCUCUGCCGAAGCGUCCCCCAUUAAAUCGUCCUCCUCGAUAUCGGCCUCCGCGUCCCCUGGGCCGGCCUCUGAAGUUGUUUUGGUUAUGAGAAUUGUUUCCUAUCGGUGGUUGAUUGGAGUUAUUUCCUUCUGUCGACGAAUGAUGUUGCGAUGAUUGCUGUUGCGCAGAGAAUGCGAUGGGGUUGACCGGCUGCUCUGUUCUUUUGAGCAGAUCCUCUUCUUGGAGAAGAUGACUAACCAAUUCGUCAAACGAUGUGGCUGGGCUGAAGUGAAGAUGCGUCAGGAAACUUCUGUAGUUUUCGUCGAGUCCGUCAACCACGAAGCCAAUGAUUUCUUCCUCAGCUAUCACGGAGCCGGCGGCACGAAUGGCAUCGGUGGUUGCUCUGACCUCCAUCAAGUACUCAGACAUGGAGACUUCAGGCUUCUUUUUGGUGGCUCGCAGCUUUGUUCGUAGUGCCUUGAUGUGGAUACUGCAUAGUGGCGAGAGGAACCGAUCCAGCAAGUGCCAUGCCUCCUUUGAGGUGGUGCAGUGUAGAAUCAUGGAUUGUACCGCCGGGGAGACAGUUGCUCUUAUCCACGUGAGUACGAGUUGAUCGGACUUCACCCAUUUUGAGUAUUGAGUGUUGACAUCCCCAGUAGUGGUUUCCAACUUCUGGUCCGGUUCAUUGAUUACGCCGGAGAGAUCAUGGAGUUUCAGAACUCCCAGGAAGUGCGACUUCCAACAGAUGUAGUCUGUCUUGUUCAUGGGGUUGCGGAAGAGUGAGUUUAUGUUGUAGGACGUUGGGAGGCGAUGGGGAUUGUUGAUGGUUCUGUUAAUGAGGGUGUUGUCAUCCUCUGGAUUUUCGAGAUUGGGUAGUGGUGGAGGGGAUUGGGUUGAAGUGUUGUUGGCCUGUUUUUGUAAGAAGGUUGCUUGUAUGUGUUCGGAGAGGGAACUCAGAGAUUGAGAGCGGUGUAGGGUCGAUGGCUCUGAUACCAUGUUGAGAAUGUGAAGGUGGUCGGAAGAGCAGAGUGAUGAUCGGAGUAGAGAGGUAGGAAAGGAGGAAGAUAGACGAUAAGAAUAAGAUAAACUCUAUAUAUUUGCUAUGAUCUCUGAGUUACAAUUAUAUACCCUUAUAUUGGGUUAUUUGUCUAUUAGCCCUUAUGGGGUUAAUUGCUUUAUUUCUCUUGUGUACUUGUUUUAUCUUCCUUAAGGGUUUAAGG